UACAGAGGGUGCGAGCGUUAAUCGGAAUUACUGGGCGUAAAGCGUGCGUAGACGGUUAUUUAAGUCGGAUGUGAAAGCCCCGGGCUCAACCUGGGAAUUGCAUUCGAGACUGAAUAGCUAGGGUACGGUAGAGGGAAGCGGAAUUUCCGGUGUAGCGGUGAAAUGCGUAGAUAUCGGAAGGAACAUCAGUGGCGAAAGCGGCUUCCUGGACCAGUACCGACGUUCAGGCACGAAAGCCAGGGGAGCAAACGGG
Molecule: ribosomal RNA, 253 nt
Filed under: uncultured bacterium
Lineage: Bacteria
Description: partial 16S ribosomal RNA
Rfam family: Bacterial small subunit ribosomal RNA
Source: RNAcentral